GCACAGUGUAUGUUACAGAUUAAUCACUGCUGGCUUUCUAUGCACUUAAAUAACAGUAUCUACAACAUUUCAAAACACAAAUCUCAUUACGUUAUACUUGUCACACAAAUUCAGUUUUGGAUAUAUAUAUAUUUAUAUAUAUUUAUAUAUUUAGCAUUUUUUUUUCAAAGAAUCAGUGGUUUAUCAGAUUAUCUGACAGAAAGCUUUAAGGCAUUGUUCAGGCCAAAGGCAGUAAACACAUGGUUCGCUGGUUGAUUUUUUUAAAUGUCCUGUUAUCUUGAAAUGUUUUGAAACCGUCACUACGACAUUCUCUCUGUAACAGAGGUUUAAUGCUGGUUAUUUAGACAUUCCAGCAGUUCUGCACAUGCUGAUGUGUAUAGACUUGAUAUAUACAGGCAGGACUGCGAUGGGCCGUUGGGCUCUAUAAACCGAGACAAAGGAACGUGAAGAAAGGACUGAAUGAGAAAACCAGUGGUGUUACACAGCUGAUGUAAAUAGUGGGUUCAGGCACUCUCCAUGUGUACAUUCAAUCAAUGUGAAAAGCUGUUGUAACUCAUUGCUUAUUGACCAAGGUGGGCUAACCUGCUGCUGCUGCUGUUAUCUUCAGCUUGAACAGCAACCCAAAAGAAGGUGGUAGAUCUGAAUAAGCAAAACCACACCAUUAAGCUGUAGCCACUGACAUCUCAACGUGUGCCCUGUAUGUGCGAUCUAUGAUAAAAAUGCAAAGCCUUAGGUUGAUGCAUGUGAACAUGUAUCAAGGUCCCAGGGUUGUGUCUAAGAACAAACAUCAAUAUAUUUCCUUUAAGAGAAGAACAGACAGUGAGGUCUUUGUUAAUGGGUAUAGACAUCCAUAAAGGUUAUAGACUCUGAAAAGUACUUGUAUUGAGGUCUUUGGAUCAUGAGAACAUUCAAUAAAAUGUUUGGUUCAUGAGGAACCAAGGUCUUUGGUUUCUGCAUCAAGGUCUUUGGUUUUUGAAAAACACAAACAUCGAGGUCUUUGGUUCAUGAGUUAAGUCAUGUAUCAAGUCCAUAUACCAAGAUCUUUAAUUCCUGAAAGUUUGCAUGUAUUAAGUCUACGUUGCGUUAUGUUUAAAGGAGAUACAUUAUCCAGGACCCAUCACCAAUUUCUGAAUACAAUGAAAUAUAACACAGAGAAUUGUGAGCAUCCCGACCACUAGAUCAGUGUUAAGUAGAGAAUACAAAUAUAUAAUUUACUGAGUGGCUGUUCUAUUUUGUUUUUUGGUGAUCCAAUGCAUUUAUUCUUGUCUGAGCUGUCAUCCUGAGAUAUAUAUCAGACGUGUAGAUCGAGGAAGUAAUAGGUGAUGGACACAGAUUGUUUAAGGCAAAGAGAGAUAUUUUAUCCCCAGAAACGUAUUGUGUCAGAUUAUGUUUGUUCAUGAAGAACAUUCAGAUUCAGUCACAUUAUAAAUGGAGACCACAGCUGGAGGGAGGUGUUUGGUCAUAAAGCUCUAUAUAUAUGUUCUGUAGUGUGGCCCUGUGACAGGUGGAAGAAGCUGUGUACAAUUCUUUACUUUUUACUUUGCACAGUCAUGGCUCUUUAUCAUGACAUAGUGCAGGCUGUAUAGAUAUUGGGGUGUGACAUAGCGUAGGCCAUAUAGAUAAUGGGGUGUGACAUUGUGCAGACCGUAUAGAUAAUGGGGUGUGACAUUGUGCAGACCGUAUAGAUAAUGGGGUGUGACAAAGCGCAGGCCGUAUAGAUAAUGGGAUGUGACAUAGCGGAGGCUGUAUAGAUAAUGGGGUGUGACAUCACACAGACCAUAUAGAUAAUGGGAUGUGACAUAGCGGAGGCUGUAUAGAUAAUGGGAUGUGACAUCACACAGACCAUAUAGAUAAUGGGAUGUGACAUCACACAGACCAUAUAGAUAAUGGGAUGUGACAUCACACAGACCGUAUAGAUAAUGGGAGGUGCCAUAGAGCAGGCCAUAUAGAUAAUGGGAGGUGACAUAGAGCAGGCCAUAUAGAUAAUGGGAGGUGACAUAGCGCAGACUGUAUAGAUAAUGGGAGGUGCCAUAGAGCAGGCCGUAUAGAAAAUGGGGUGUGACAUAGUGCAGACCAUAUAGAUAAUGGGAUGUGACAAAGCAUAGGCCAUAUAGAUAAUGGGGUGUGACAUCGCACAGACCGUAUAGAUAAUGGGAGGUGCCAUAGAGCAGGUCAUAUAGAUAAUAGGGUGUGGCAAAGCGCAGACCAUAUAGAUAAUGGGGUGUGACAUAGCGCAGGCCAUAUAGAUAAUGGGGUGUGAAAUAGCGCAGGCCAUAUAGAUAAUGGGGUGUGAAAUAGCACAGACCGUAUAGAUAAUGGGGUGUGACAUAGCACAGACCGUAUAGAUAAUGGGAUGUGACAUAGCGGAGGCCGUAUAGAUAAUAGGGUGUAACAUAGCGCAGGUCAUGUGGAUAAUGGGGUGUGACAUCACACAGACCAUAUAGAUAAUGGGAGGUGACAUAGCGCAGACCGUAUAGAUAAUGGGAGGUGACAUAGCACAGACCGUAUACAUAAUGGGAGGUGACAUAGCGCAGACCGUAUAGAUAAUGGGAGGUGACAUAGCACAGACCAUAUUGAUAAUGGGAGGUGACAUAGCGCAGACCAUAUAGAUAAUGGGAGGUGACAUAGCGCAGACCGUAUAGAUAAUGGGAGGUGACAUAGCACAGAUCGUAUACAUAAUGGGAGGUGACAUAGCACAGACCGUAUAGAUAAUGGGAGGUGACAUAGCACAGACCAUAUAGAUAAUGGGAGAUGACAUAGCACAGACCAUAUAGAUAAUGAGAGGUGACAUAGCGCAGACCAUAUAGAUAAUGGGAGAUAACAUAGCACAGACCAUAUAGAUAAUGAGAGGUGACAUAGCGCAGACCGUAUAGAUAAUGAGAGGUGACAUAGCGCAGACCGUAUAGAUAAUGAGAGGUGACAUAACGCAGACCGUAUAGAUAAUGGGAGAUGACAUAGCGCAGAUCAUAUAGAUAAUGGGAGGUGACAUAGCGCAGACCGUAUAGAUAAUGGGAGAUGACAUAGCGCAGACCAUAUAGAUAAUGGGAGGUGACAUAGCGCAGACCAUAUAGAUAAGACAUAGCAUGAGACCGUAUAGAUAAUGGGAGGUGACAUAGCGCAGACCGUAUAGAUAAUGGGAGAUGACAUAGCGCAGACCGUAUAGAUAAUGGGAGAUGACAUAGCGCAGACCAUAUAGAUAAUGGGAGGUGACAUAGCGCAGACUGUAUCGAUAAUGGGAGGUGACAUAGCACAGACCAUAUAGAUAAUGGGAGGUGACAUAGCUCAGACCGUAUAGAUAAUGGGAGGUGACAUAGCGCAGACCAUAUAGAUAAUGGGAGGUGACAUAGCACAGAUAAUGGGAGGUGACAUAGCACAGACCGUAUAGAUAAUGGGAGGGAUGACAUAGCGCAGACUGUAUAGAUAAUGGGAGAUGACAUAGCGCAGACCGUAUAGAUAAUGGGAGAGAUAGAGACAUAGCGCAGACCGUAUAGAUAAUGGGAGGUGACAUAGCACAGACCAUAUAGAUAAUGGAAGAUGAUAUAGCACAGACCAUAUAGAUAAUGGGAGGUGACAUAGCGCAGACCAUAUUUAUAAUGGGAGGUGACAUGGCACAGACCAUAUAGAUAAUGGGAGGUGACAUAGCACAGACCGUAUAGAUAAUGGGAGGUGACAUAGCGCAGACCGUAUAGAUAAUGGGAGGUGACAUAGCGCAGACCGUAUAGAUAAUGGGAGAUGACAUAGCGCAGACCGUAUAGAUAAUGGGAGAUGACAUAGCGCAGAUCAUAUAGAUAAUGGGAGGUGACAUAGCGCAGACCGUAUAGAUAAUGGGAGGUGACAUAGCACAGACCAUAUAGAUAAUGGAAGAUGACAUAGCACAGACCGUAUAGAUAAUGGGAGGUGACAUAGCGCAGACCAUAU
RNAcentral lists this long non-coding RNA (3918 nucleotides) under Pelobates cultripes (western spadefoot toad). The record is from RNAcentral. Lineage: Eukaryota; Metazoa; Chordata; Amphibia; Anura; Pelobatidae.